CACUGUGCACAAAUAAUGGGUUUGGUCCCGUGCACCACAGCAUUACCCUGGCCAGCUUUGUCCCUUGGCUCGCGUUGGAGCUGCCCGCUCAGCAGAGGAAGGCGUUAGAAUCUGGAAGGAGUUCCGCUCUGGGAAGUGGGCACACUGCGAGUGUCCAUAGGUUUGAGUGGCGAGUGAGUUCAAUCUGCAGGCGUAGGAAGGCUUCUGAUCUCUCGGGGAAUGAAGGAAGAAAAAUACAAGCAGAAGACUGUAUAUGAAAAUGAAUAAUAUUAAAAUGCCUUUUUGGAUUUUGUCUUUAGAAAUAAUAUUUGCACUACAAAGGUGUCCAAUAUUUUAUUAGUAUAGUUUAUUAGUAUAGUUUAUCUCUUUAAUGUAAAUAAUAAAGAGGACAUGGAUGUUUUAACAGAUAAUAAAUCUGUUAAAUAAGUCACAUAUGAUACAAUUUAUCCAUUUAAAAUGUGCAAUUCAAUGAUUUUUGUUAUAUUCAAGCACGUAUACAACCAAUACCACAGUCAAUUUUAGAACAUUUUCAUCUCAAGAGGAAAUCCUGUGUAACUUUACCUAUUAGCACUUCCCCUGCGCUAACUCACCCCAGCCCUAAGCAACUAUUUAUCUCCAUUCUACUUUCUAGAGAUUUUUUUUCUAUUCUUGACUUUGUAUAAAUUGAAAUCACAUAGUACAUGAUUAUUUGUGACUGGCUUCUUUCAUUUAGCAUAAUAUUUUCAAGGUUAAUUCAUGUUGUAGUAUUCAUUAGUAUUUCAUUUCUUUUGUGGCUGAACUAUGUUAGAUUGUAUGAAUAUAGACAGUUUAUUUUAUCAUUUCAUCCCUUGAUGGACAUUUGGAUUGUUUCAAGCUUUUGUAUAUUAUUAAUAAUAACGUUAUGAACAUUCCUAUGCAUUUUUCUUUGUAAAUGUAUAUUUUCAUUUCUCUUGGGUAUAUAAGUAGGAGUGGAAUUACUGGGUUGUAUUGUAGCUUUAUCUUUAAUCUUUUGAGGAAAUUUCAGACUCUUCCAAAGUAGCAGAGCCAUUUGGCAUUCUCAACAACAGGGUAUGAUGGUUCUGGCUUUUCCACAUUAUUAUGUCAACAGCUGUUGUUAUCUAAUUUUUAAAAUUGUAUUUAUCCUAGUGAGUGCAAAAUGAUAUCUCACUAUGGUUUGGAUUUGCCUUUAACUUUUUUUAUUCUAAAGUGUAUUUUACCUGAUAUUAGUAGCUUUCUUGUGAUUGUGAUUAGCAUGUUUUAUCAUUUUUCAUCUUUUUACUUUCAAUCUAUU
This 1270-nucleotide long non-coding RNA is filed under the name Homo sapiens (human). RNAcentral describes it as "HSALNT0142113". The record is from RNAcentral. Lineage: Eukaryota; Metazoa; Chordata; Mammalia; Primates; Hominidae.